AGUCAGAGUUGGUCACUUGGUCUGGGGUGUUGUUCCUUAAGACCAUGAUUAUAGGGGUUUCUUAAGAGAGAUUUUAGUGUUAAAGAGAGAUUUAAUUAAAUCAAAACAAAAAUAAAAGUCUGUUACCGAUCCUUAAGGAAGGAUUUUGGAAACCGAUUAUUAAGAUGGUUUUUACCCCACAUGUCAGCUUCCCAUCGCAAAUACAUUUUUUCUCUUUUUUUUUCUUUUGUUUCUCUCUGUCUUCUCCGACGAAGAUGAGAAGCAACCGCUGCGAUUUGUGCUUUCUGGACGCAUGUUUGCUCCGACCAAGGUCUCUGAUUACAUCUGUUACGAUCUCAAACAGAGGGAAUUUCUGACGGAAUUUGUCAGGUUUUAGAAAAAAGGUUGGAAUUUUUCUAUGUUUCUCGACAAAUUAAAUCAGCCUUAAAACCCUUGACGGAGUUUCUUCUCUUCGCUUGGAGAACAGAGGACGCCGCUCAUCGCAUCGUACAUUAUGGUUUUGGAAUGUAGAGAGAAAGGAGAGGUGUGAGAAUGAGUCGUGCAGCAGCUUCAAAAGGGAAGAAGAAGGGAGGAGUUUCCUUCACCAUUGAUUGUUCCAAGCCUGUGGAUGACAAGAUCAUGGAGAUUGCUUCCUUGAUUUCCUUUAGAGAAGUUUUUUUCCACAGUUUUAGUCUAAGAUGCUUAAUUGAUUUCCUUUUCUGCUUCAUUGUGACAUAACCUUCGUGUAAACCGUUUUAUUGAACCAGCAGAGAUUGAAGGAUGGCAACUUUCGAUAGUCUCUGUUUUGGAUGUUUUAGACAUCACGCUCUCCCAAUCUUCUCAGAGUACAGUUUCUGGUCUUCCCAUGUUUCAUCAAACUAUGCUGUCGUCUACAUCUAAACCAAUCCCAGUCGCGCAGCUAUCACAUCGUUGAUAUCUUACUUGCGGAAUCCUAUUAUCCAUAUUUGUGCUGCUAAAGUGCUUUCAAAGUUAUAUGCCAUGGCAGAAUCAUCACAACUCUAUAUAAUAAGCAAAGCAGGCUUUGGUCUAUACAGAUUUGAAGGCCUUGUCUAAUCGGAUUCUGACGUCUGUGUAACAAUAUGUUGACAGCUUUGUGUCCAACCUGCUUUUUCUGAGUUGUUAGCACAAUAUCAGUCUUGCAAUGAUCUGAGAUUAUGUUUAGUUGAGAGUUUGGACAACUUGACAUUGCAUCUUCGUUUGUAGUGUUCUUCUCUCCUACUCUAUAUAAAGUUUUUAUUCACCAAGCAUUUUAA
Brassica oleracea var. oleracea is the source of this 1253-nucleotide long non-coding RNA. RefSeq lists it as uncharacterized. NCBI's taxonomy places the organism in Eukaryota, Viridiplantae, Streptophyta, Magnoliopsida, Brassicales, Brassicaceae. The record is from RefSeq and is a predicted model, not a curated record. The transcript is spliced from 4 exons.